This 4441-nucleotide long non-coding RNA is filed under the name Homo sapiens (human). Its description in RNAcentral is "non-protein coding lnc-NPBWR1-7:2". Lineage: Eukaryota; Metazoa; Chordata; Mammalia; Primates; Hominidae. The record is from RNAcentral.
GGCCCCGCCUCCGGCUCUCCGGCCGGCAGGUUGGCUGUCCUGGCCUGACCCUGGGAGACUCCGCUGGGGCCGCCUGUUAUGGUGCUAGCUGCCGUCCCGGUGCGUACUUUCCCAAGGUGAAUUUGACCUUCUUUGCGACAGCUAGGCCCUGACUAAGGUCGACCCACCAAACACUGGAUCGUCCCCAGGCGAAAGAGAGCUUGUUCCCCUCAGCCUGUCGCGGAGGAGCGGAGCCAAUCGAGGGUCUGGUGUCCCCGUCGCCUCUCCAGGGGCAACCUGCGGACUAGGCCAAGGUCUGUAACAGGAUAACGUACCAGCGCCUGGCCCAGGCGUUCCUGCCGCCACCUCCCCGCAUAUCCGGACCGCCGGGACUGCACGCAGCUGGCAAGCGUCCCCCUGUUAACUCUGCAAGGGUGGGGCGGCACCAUUUCUCAGACCAGGUUGCAAUAAAUUACCAGAAACGACUGGUUCAUACCUUAUACACCUCCAGUGUAAAUGUUAAGAGUUUGUAUAUUCUUAACAGACUCUUAACAAACAUCAGUAAUUCUUUCCUAGGGAUAAGUGAAAAUGUACUAACAUUAAUUCUAUUAUAUAUAUGCAAAUAUCUAGAGGAAAUACUGUUUAUAAGUUACUAAUACAUGUAUCCAUGGUAGUAGGUCUUGAAAAGUUACUUUUGUUGCCUAUUGGACACCCUCUAUUCUCCCUUCCUUAAUAAAACAAAAAAAAGAACAAACAAAAUUCUGUAGCAUCACUUCUCAACCAAGCUUUCUGAUAGGAAGUCCUCAGUCCAAUCUCAUUUUUGGCCUACUGUGCAUUUCUUACUUAACUUGCAAACAGAUCAUUAACAAGGACCUCCAAAUUACAGUAAAUUACAGUACUAAGAUUUUACUUGAACUUUCUAAAGCAUUCGCCAUUUUAAAUUAUUUAACUUUUAUACUCCUCCUUCCCUUUUGUGCUGUUUCCUUCCUGGCGCUCCUAAAUAUCUGUCCAUUCUUUGGACCUCUUCCAAAUUUUCAGAUAAUUAUAAUAGUGUGCGAAUGAUGCAAAGGUAAUGUGCCGUGGGAGAGAACAGAAGAGAGAAACCUAAUUCUGGCCUCAUCACAUUAUUGUUUUUUUAAAUUUAAUAACUAUUUUAGAUGCUUCAGUAGAUUUACAGUGAGGGCAAAAGAAAACAGUUUUCUUUAGGAGUAUGGAGGGAUUAUAUAGGAUGUACAAUAAAUACCCUAAGUACUUCAAAUCAGUUCAGAUCUUUAAAAUCCUAUUUUUCCUUCAGUUCUCAACUUCAAUAUCACCUACUCUGGGAGUCAUUCCCUACCAUGCUUGUUUGUUUGUUUGUUUGUUUGUUUGUUUGUUUUGAGACAGAGUCUCACUCUGUUGCCCAAGCUGGAGUGCAGUGACACCAUCUCUGCUCACCGCAGCCUCUACCUCCCAGGUUCAAACGAUUCUCUUGUCUCAGCCUCCCUAGUAACUGGGAUUACAGGCACUUGCCACCACUCCCGGCUACUUUUCAUACUUUUAUUAGAUGGGGUUUCACCGUGUUGGCCAGGCUGGUCUCGAACUCCUGAUCUCAAGUGAUCCACCCGCUUCAGCCUCCCCCACAGUGCUGGGAUUACAGGAGUGAGCCACAGCACCUGGCCACAUGCUUGUAAUUUCUUUAGAUUCUCACAUUGUAUCUUUCAGUGUCAUCUAACAUGCUGACUAUAAGCUCCUUUUUAAAAGAUGUACUGUACCUGGUAUAUAAUGGUAUGCACUCAACAAACAUUUGACAGUACCCCACAACUUGUUCAGGCCCUCAAUUUAUACCUGAAUUGACCUCCUAUCCAUCUCCAUUAUUUACUCCAUCCAAGACCAGUCUAAUCAAAUCUCUUCCCUGCCUAACAACUUUCAUUGGUUUUGUUUUGUAUACUAGAUACAAUUUAAACUUUUUUUUUUUUGAGAUGGAGUCUCUCUCUGUCACCCAGGCUGGAGUUCAGUGGCGCGAUCUUGGCUCACUGCAAGCUCCACCGCCUGGGUUCACACCAUUCACCUGCCUCAGCCUCCCAAGUAGCUGGGACUACAGGCGCCUACCACCACGCCCGGCUAAUUUUUUGUAUUUUUUGUAGAGACGGGGUUUCACCAUGUUAGGCAGGAUGGUCUCGAUCUCCUGACCUCGUGAUCCGCCCGUCUUGGCCUCCCAAAGUGCUGGGAUUACAGGCAUGAGCCACUGUGCCCGGCCCUGGGCAUGGGUAAACUUCUUAACCUAGCAUGAAAGUCUCUCCAUGAUAAGGUAUCAACCCAUCUCUCCAGUGUAUCUCCCAGCACUUUUCUCCCCUUUAUAUGUGCUCUAUAUGAGUUUCCUCAUCCAGGAAUGUUCUUCCCCACUUGUUCACCUUUAAAGUCAUCCCUUAAAACACAGCUUGGAUGUUAGCAGCUUCUAACUUCUAGAGUUUCCACUCUUCUAUUAAGCUUUGCUCUGUAUCUCACAACUGUAAAUUUUUCUCUCCCCUCUUAGUCUGUGAAACUCUUAAGAUUAAGAACUAUGCAUUAUUAAUUUUUAAAUUCCUGGAACUUUAUGGAGAGCUUGGCAGUCAGCAAUUAAUACAAGAUUUGCUGUAUGUAAUACAUUCUGCAAAUUUUUAUAUUUAUAUUGAUGGUUGACUAGAAAGUUACUGUGGAAAAUUCCUGCCAUCAAAUAUCUCAUAGGCUUGUAAAGGGGACCAUUCAAAACAAUUGCAGUAACAAAGGCAGGGUGCAGUGGCUCACGCCUGUAAUACCAGCUGAGGUGGGCAGAUUGCUUGAGCUCAGGAAUUUGAGACCAGCCUGGACAACAUGGUGAAACCCUGUCUCUAGUAAAAAUACAAAAAUUAGCCAGGCAUGGUGGCGCCCAACUGUAGUCCCAGAUACUCAGGAGACUAAUGUGGGAGAAUCAAUUGAACCUGGGGACGGAGGUUGCCAUGAGCCAAGAUCAUGCCACUGCACUCCAGCCUGGGAGACAGAAUGAGACUCCAUCUCAAAAAAGAAGAAUAAUAAUAAUUGCAGGCUGGGUGCAGUGGCUCACGCCUCAUGCCUGUAAUCCCAACACUUUGGGAGGCUGAGGCGGGUGGAUCACCUGAGGUCAGGAGUUCGAGACCAGCCUGACCAACAUGGAGAAACCCCGUCUCUACUAAAAAUACAACAUUAGCCAGUGGCGCAUGCCUGUAAUCCCAGAUACUCAGUAGGCUGAGACAGGAGAAUCACUUGAACCCAGGAGGCGGAGGUCGCAGUGAGCCGAGAUCGCACCAUUGCAUUCCAGCCUGGGCAACAAGAGCGAAACUCCGUCUCAAAAAAAGAAAAAAAAAAUAAAUAUAAUUGCAGUAACAAAUUUAUAUGAUAUUAAUUCUUUACCAAAGUACAUUCAGUUUAUUGGGAAGAUCAUGGUAAACAUCUUAAUUUUGUCAACUCUGCCUGAGGCAUUCAGCACAUGUAUUAAAUAUUUCUCAAACAACUUAGUGUCAUUACCCUAAUUUUCUUUUAGGCAAUGUUCAAACAACCAGCAACCACAAUUCACAUAAUUUGGCUUUAUUCAAAGUAUGAGGCACAAUUAUUGUUCAUUUUUAAAAGGGUUAAAAAGAUGUACGUUUUGGACUUUGUUUUUAAAACCAUAACUAAUUUGGUGUAUAUGAUUAUGUACUAUUUAGAGGCUGCUGGCACUAUGAUGAUUAAGUUAAUGUUUUCAGUACUGCUUAUAGACCUGAAAGCUGCCCUUCUCAGCUGGUUUGUGGGUACUCAAACAUACUAAUAAUGAUGAUGGCUAACUUAGGAAUGACCAUCUUCAAAGCUAGUGAUGACUUGAUGAGCUCAUAAGCAACACUGUUUCCAAUGCUGCAGCAACAUAGUCAAGAAAACACUUCUAGAAUGCUUAAUUUCCUGAAAGAUUUAAACCAAUAGAUUAAGACAAAACAUUUGUAGUCAUUUUUCAGAUUGAAAGAGAUAUCUUUUUGCAUCAUGUUUUAUUAGGUUCUUGUCUUUCAUUAUUUUGAAGAGCUGCCUAGCAAAGUGUCCAAAAAUAGAGCUGGCACUGUUUAUAAAAUGCCUUAAGGCAGAAGUUAAUCAGUCAUGUAGACACAGAUACAGAACUGAUUCAAAUGUCAAGUGGUAGUUGGACUUCAGGUGGUGACUUUCUAACUUUUACUGUGAUCCACAUUAAGAAAUACAGUUUCACAUUGUGACCUGGUAUACAUACACAGGAAAAAGUACUUGCUGCUUGUGAUAUACUCUGAUACCUUCUAUUGUUUUUUUUUCCUCUUGCUAGUCUUACACAUUACAUCGAUUUUACUAUCAUCCAAUGGUUUCAGAGAUAUUAGAUUCAAUGACUUAGGCCCCAAACCUUGAGAUUCUUUGUUCCUGAUUUUUCUGUCAGUGCCUUCCUAUUUCUGUCAGUGCCUCAGUAGUGUUUAUAAAUAAAUGCUUCUUUUUUUUUUUU